UUCGGCCAUUUGGUAUCUGACACAUAAUCAUUUCUCUGAUUAUGUGUCUCGAAACAUGGCAGAAAGCGAGGGGGGAACGGUCCUUGCGACACUGGUUGCUGCUAUAUGAGCUUCUAGUUACUAUAUACCCGUUUACAUAU
This is a non-coding RNA of Oryza punctata, 140 nucleotides long. Lineage: Eukaryota; Viridiplantae; Streptophyta; Magnoliopsida; Poales; Poaceae. The record is from Rfam.